GAGUGGAGGUGACUCUCCAUAGACUUAUUAGAAGAUUGAGUUAUGUGCAGAGAAUAGUGUAAGCACAUUCAUGCCAUAUGCAGACCCAAUUCUCUAGGAUUAGAGGAGCGGAGGUGGUACAGCCAUUGCCGGUCCAUCUGCAUUGUAUUAUGUAGAAAAUAAACAUAGGGCUUCGUAUUACAUUAAGAACUUGAUCAAUAUUAGGUAGGGAAAAAUAGAGUAAAUGUGUUUAUAAUAUUUAGUUCUUGCAAUAAAUAUGAGAUAAAUAAAUUAUUGGUCAAGGAAAAUACAAUUAUUGUUAAAUUACAGUGACAUGAAAAAUUAUAGCAAUGACCAAAUUCUAUUUCAUACACCUACAAUUUAUUUACCUUAAGUUUAUUGCAAUGACUAAAUAUUAAAAACAUAUUUACUGUAAUGUUUUCCCAUACCUAAUAUUGAUCAAGUUCUUUUAACUAAUACGAAUCAUAUAUAACAACCAAGCUAUCCAUCAAAUUCUAGCUCAAAAACAUGUAUAAAUAAAAAUCCUCCCUGUUCUCCCUCUUUCUAAAAAAACUCAUUUUUCUCCCUCUCUAAGGCAUAAAAUAAAGUAUAAUAACAAUAAAUGAAGGGAGGAUGAAGUAGCUAACCUUUACAACACUUUGGAUGAGUGAAAUUCCCACGAAAAUGAGGAAAAAAAAUCCGGCAGCAGCUCCCCUAAGGUUGCUUGCUUGCCAUGGAGAGGAGGUUGAAGCUCUCGGUCUCUGGUGGAG
RNAcentral lists this long non-coding RNA (749 nucleotides) under Setaria italica (foxtail millet). RNAcentral's name for it is "long non-coding RNA (SITA_LNC003063)". The record is from RNAcentral. Lineage: Eukaryota; Viridiplantae; Streptophyta; Magnoliopsida; Poales; Poaceae.